RNAcentral lists this ribosomal RNA (415 nucleotides) under Boana boans group sp. ABGD cluster 15. Its description in RNAcentral is "partial large subunit ribosomal RNA". It matches the Rfam family "Archaeal large subunit ribosomal RNA", at positions 1927 to 2490 of the family's 2987-position model. Lineage: Eukaryota; Metazoa; Chordata; Amphibia; Anura; Hylidae. The record is from RNAcentral.
CUUGAAUAAAAUAAGAGGUCCAGCCUGCCCAGUGAAAUUAUUCAACGGCCGCGGUAUCCUAACCGUGCGAAGGUAGCGUAAUCACUUGUUCUUUAAAUGAGGACUAGUAUGAAUGGCACCACGAGGGUUCUACUGUCUCCUUUUUUUAAUCAGUGAAACUAAUCUCCCCGUGAAGAAGCGGGGAUCUUUGUAUAAGACGAGAAGACCCUAUGGAGCUUUAAACAACCAACAUUUGCUACACCAUAACAUUUUUCCCUAAAAGAAGUAUAGCAUUAUGAUUAUUAGUUUUCGAUUGGGGUGAUCACGGAGUAAAAUAUAACCUCCAUGCCGAAAGGGUUCUUACCCUGAGCAAAAAGCCACAGCUUUAAGCACUAAAAAAUUAACGCAGUUUGACCCAAUAUUUUGAUCAACGAAC